GUCCGCGUGCCUAAUGGAUAAGGCGUCUGACUUCGAAUCAGAAGAUUAGGUUCGAGUCCUGCCGGGACG
Molecule: transfer RNA, 69 nt
Filed under: Araneus ventricosus
Lineage: Eukaryota; Metazoa; Arthropoda; Arachnida; Araneae; Araneidae
Rfam family: tRNA
About the family: Transfer RNA (tRNA) molecules are approximately 80 nucleotides in length. Their secondary structure includes four short double-helical elements and three loops (D, anti-codon, and T loops).
Source: Rfam by way of RNAcentral